UGAACGCUGGCGGCGUGCCUAAUACAUGCAAGUCGAGCGAACAGACGAGGAGCUUGCUCCUCUGACGUUAGCGGCGGACGGGUGAGUAACACGUGGAUAACCUACCUAUAAGACUGGGAUAACUUCGGGAAACCGGAGCUAAUACCGGAUAAUAUAUUGAACCGCAUGGUUCAAUAGUGAAAGACGGUUUUGCUGUCACUUAUAGAUGGAUCCGCGCCGCAUUAGCUAGUUGGUAAGGUAACGGCUUACCAAGGCAACGAUGCGUAGCCGACCUGAGAGGGUGAUCGGCCACACUGGAACUGAGACACGGUCCAGACUCCUACGGGAGGCAGCAGUAGGGAAUCUUCCGCAAUGGGCGAAAGCCUGACGGAGCAACGCCGCGUGAGUGAUGAAGGUCUUCGGAUCGUAAAACUCUGUUAUUAGGGAAGAACAAAUGUGUAAGUAACUAUGCACGUCUUGACGGUACCUAAUGAGAAAGCCACGGCUAACUACGUG
Molecule: ribosomal RNA, 495 nt
Filed under: uncultured bacterium
Lineage: Bacteria
Description: partial 16S ribosomal RNA
Rfam family: Bacterial small subunit ribosomal RNA
Source: RNAcentral